GGGAUGGGGUGGGGAAUGUUGGGAAUUUUGGGAAUGGGGUUGGGAAUGUUGGGAAUUUUGGGAAUGGGGUUGGGAAUGGUGGGGAUGUUGGCAGUUGGGGGAUAAUGGUCAGGCUUUGGCGGGAAGGGGUCCCGGUGUUGGUUCAGGGGUGUUUGUUGGGUUUACAGGAGAAAUUUUGGGUUUUUCAAAGAGUGGAGAGCAGUGGGAAAUGGGAGGGAAAAUCCUAAAGAAAUGCAGUUCUCCAUAUCCCAAAUCCUGCUAUCCAAACCCCACAUCCCAAAUCCUGAUUUCCACAUCCCAAAUCCCAAAUCCUGAUUUCCAAAUCCCAAAUCCUCAUCCCAUGUCCUGUCGUUCCCAGUUUCCUCCCCCACGGUGGGCAAACCCUACAAGUGCAGCUCGUGUGGCCGCAGCUACAAACAGCAGAGCAGCCUGGAGGAGCACAGGGAGCGCUGCCACGGCUUCCUGCAGAGGGAGAGCCCCGCACAGACAGGAGAGGAAAUCCGGGAGCUGGACAUGGUGCCCGAGGCGUUGCUGCACCCUGAGCGCCCCACCUUUAUCGAGCGGUUGGCAGGGAGCUUUACCAAGAGGAAACGAUCCACGCCGCAGAAAUUUGUGGGUAAGGAAAAGAUGGAAAUGAUGGAAAAAUGGAAAAAUUCCCUCGGCGGGAAGUGAGGGGCGGCCUCAGGGAUGGCGGGGUGUGAGGGGGGGGAGCGGCGCGGGAAGGGGAAUCCCCACACAAAAGCCUCAAAAUGUAUCGCAAAUUAAGACAAAAACCGGCUCAAAUUGAAAGAUAAAUUCAAAUCAAAAGAAAAGCAUCUCUUAAAAAAAAAUUCUAAAAAAUUUCCCCUCACAUUUUAAAAAACCCCUGCAUUAAAAAAUUCCAGCAAAUCAGCCAAAAAAAACCUUAAAUCAACAAAAACCCAGAGGAAAUGCUCCAAGCCGCAGAAUUUUUUCAUAAUUUCCAUC
Molecule: long non-coding RNA, 966 nt
Filed under: Junco hyemalis (dark-eyed junco)
Lineage: Eukaryota; Metazoa; Chordata; Aves; Passeriformes; Passerellidae
Description: lncRNA (ENSJHYG00000009368.1)
Source: RNAcentral